This 492-nucleotide ribosomal RNA is filed under the name uncultured bacterium. RNAcentral's name for it is "partial 16S ribosomal RNA". It matches the Rfam family "Bacterial small subunit ribosomal RNA", at positions 29 to 507 of the family's 1533-position model. The record is from RNAcentral.
AGUGAACGCUGGCGGUAGGCCUAACACAUGCAAGUCGAACGGCAGCACAGUAAGAGCUUGCUCUUACGGGUGGCGAGUGGCGGACGGGUGAGGAAUACAUCGGAAUCUACUUUUUCGUGGGGGAUAACGUAGGGAAACUUACGCUAAUACCGCAUACGACCUACGUGUGAAAGCAGGGGAUCUUCGGACCUUGCGCGAUUGAAUGAGUCGAUGUCGGAUUAGCUAGUUGGCGGGGUAAAGGCCCACCAAGGCGACGAUCCGUAGCUGGUCUGAGAGGAUGAUCAGCCACACUGGAACUGAGACACGGUCCAGACUCCUACGGGAGGCGGCAGUGGGGAAUAUUGGACAAUGGGCGCAAGCCUGAUCCAGCCAUACCGCGUGGGUGAAGAAGGCCUUCGGGUUGUAAAGCCCUUUUGUUGGGAAAGAAAAGCAGCAGGUUAAUACCCCGCUGUUCUGACGGUACCCAAAGAAUAAGCACCGGCUAACUUCGUG